GUAGGGAAUAUUGGGCAAUGGAUGCAAGUCUGACCCAGCCAUCCCGCGUGCCGGAAGAAGGCCCUCAGGGUUGUAAACGGCUUUUGACGGUGAAGAAUCGACAGGAUGCGUCCUGUUUUGACGGUAGCCGUUGAAUAAGCACCGGCUAACUCCGUGCCAGCAGCCGCGGUAAUACGGAGGGUGCGAGCGUUGUCCGGAUUUAUUGGGUUUAAAGGGUGCGUAGGCUGGAAGGUCAGUCAGCGGUGAAAAGCUAUCGCUUAACGAUAGUCUUGCCGCAGAUACUUCCUUUCUUGGAUGAGGAGGAGGCCACUGGAACGGAUGGUGUAGCGGUGAAAUGCAUAGAUAUCAUCCAGAACACCGAUUGCGAAAGCAGGUGGCUGUACCUUAAUCGACGCUGAUGCACGAAAGCAUGGGGAGCAAACAGGAUUAGAAACCCCAGUAGUCC
RNAcentral lists this ribosomal RNA (445 nucleotides) under uncultured bacterium. RNAcentral describes it as "bacterial SSU rRNA". It matches the Rfam family "Bacterial small subunit ribosomal RNA", at positions 354 to 796 of the family's 1533-position model. The record is from RNAcentral.